Molecule: ribosomal RNA, 189 nt
Filed under: Lysinibacillus sp. AC-3
Lineage: Bacteria; Bacillati; Bacillota; Bacilli; Caryophanales; Bacillaceae
Description: 16S rRNA. Bacterial SSU
Rfam family: Bacterial small subunit ribosomal RNA
Source: RNAcentral
CUUUUAUGGAGAGUUUGAUCCUGGCUCAGGACGAACGCUGGCGGCGUGCCUAAUACAUGCAAGUCGAGCGAACAGAGAAGGAGCUUGCUCCUUUGACGUUAGCGGCGGACGGGUGAGUAACACGUGGGCAACCUACCUUAUAGUUUGGGAUAACUCCGGGAAACCGGGGCUAAUACCGAAUAAUCUAUU